This 1455-nucleotide ribosomal RNA is filed under the name uncultured organism. Its description in RNAcentral is "SSU rRNA". It matches the Rfam family "Bacterial small subunit ribosomal RNA". The record is from RNAcentral.
CGCUGGCGGCAGGCCUAACACAUGCAAGUCGAGCGGUAGCACAGAGAGCUUGCUCUCGGGUGACGAGCGGCGGACGGGUGAGUAAUGUCUGGGAAACUGCCUGAUGGAGGGGGAUAACUACUGGAAACGGUAGCUAAUACCGCAUAAUGUCGCAAGACCAAAGUGGGGGACCUUCGGGCCUCAUGCCAUCAGAUGUGCCCAGAUGGGAUUAGCUAGUAGGUGGGGUAACGGCUCACCUAGGCGACGAUCCCUAGCUGGUCUGAGAGGAUGACCAGCCACACUGGAACUGAGACACGGUCCAGACUCCUACGGGAGGCAGCAGUGGGGAAUAUUGCACAAUGGGCGCAAGCCUGAUGCAGCCAUGCCGCGUGUGUGAAGAAGGCCUUCGGGUUGUAAAGCACUUUCAGCGGGGAGGAAGGCGAUAAGGUUAAUAACCUUGUCGAUUGACGUUACCCGCAGAAGAAGCACCGGCUAACUCCGUGCCAGCAGCCGCGGUAAUACGGAGGGUGCAAGCGUUAAUCGGAAUUACUGGGCGUAAAGCGCACGCAGGCGGUCUGUCAAGUCGGAUGUGAAAUCUCCGGGCUCAACCUGGGAACUGCAUUCGAAACUGGCAGGCUAGAGUCUUGUAGAGGGGGGUAGAAUUCCAGGUGUAGCGGUGAAAUGCGUAGAGAUCUGGAGGAAUACCGGUGGCGAAGGCGGCCCCCUGGACAAAGACUGACGCUCAGGUGCGAAAGCGUGGGGAGCAAACAGGAUUAGAUACCCUGGUAGUCCACGCCGUAAACGAUGUCGAUUUGGAGGUUGUGCCCUUGAGGCGUGGCUUCCGGAGCUAACGCGUUAAAUCGACCGCCUGGGGAGUACGGCCGCAAGGUUAAAACUCAAAUGAAUUGACGGGGGCCCGCACAAGCGGUGGAGCAUGUGGUUUAAUUCGAUGCAACGCGAAGAACCUUACCUGGUCUUGACAUCCACAGAACUUUCCAGAGAUGGAUUGGUGCCUUCGGGAACUGUGAGACAGGUGCUGCAUGGCUGUCGUCAGCUCGUGUUGUGAAAUGUUGGGUUAAGUCCCGCAACGAGCGCAACCCUUAUCCUUUGUUGCCAGCGGUCCGGCCGGGAACUCAAAGGAGACUGCCAGUGAUAAACUGGAGGAAGGUGGGGAUGACGUCAAGUCAUCAUGGCCCUUACGACCAGGGCUACACACGUGCUACAAUGGCAUAUACAAAGAGAAGCGACCUCGCGAGAGCAAGCGGACCUCAUAAAGUAUGUCGUAGUCCGGAUUGGAGUCUGCAACUCGACUCCAUGAAGUCGGAAUCGCUAGUAAUCGUAGAUCAGAAUGCUACGGUGAAUACGUUCCCGGGCCUUGUACACACCGCCCGUCACACCAUGGGAGUGGGUUGCAAAAGAAGUAGGUAGCUUAACCUUCGGGAGGGCGCUUACCACUUUGUGAUUCAUGACUGGGGU